This 215-nucleotide unclassified non-coding RNA is filed under the name Hevea brasiliensis (rubber tree). The record is from RNAcentral. Lineage: Eukaryota; Viridiplantae; Streptophyta; Magnoliopsida; Malpighiales; Euphorbiaceae.
UCUUGAAUAUGGUAGUGCAACACAGUUAUAUUUGGUGCCUUGCAUUCAGCAUGAGGAGCAAGUAUGUGUUUUAACACAGAAUAUAAACCAAGCUUCAAGGACACUUAGUACGUCGUAUCCUACCCAGGGUCCCCAAGUUUCGCAAGUUUCCUUGCCCUGUGAUUCGCAUGGGGCAAUUGAUUUUGGUAACUAUCCUUUUCGGUCUUAUGUGAUCG